UAUAUAUAUAUAUAUAUAUAUUUCUUCUUUGGGAUUUCUCUACAACCAAUCCAAACCAAACCCUAAGAGCUUAGAAAGAAGAAAGGUAAUUGGGUUCUAUAGGUGAUCCGUGGGUGUGCAGAAGGAGAGAACGGUAGAGAUGAUCUACCGAUGCCGGAGUUCAAUUGGGAAACCCAUGCCAAGGUGGGUAGUAAUUUCAUCAUCCACAUUGAUAGUAAGACUCUCAUUUUUCCCUCAGUUGUACGGCAACUCAAAACCUGAAGAUAAUUGGAGAGUUGUGGCCUAAAUAGUACUCUAGAUAAUGAUCUAUUGAUGUCUCUACCUUACUCGAGAGGCCCUUAGAGCUUCCAUAUGUCAAGAUUAACCGUCGGUAUCAACAAAUGAACUGUCCAUACCAACGAUUAAUGUCAGUUUUUCUCAACAGUUCACCUCACUACAGGCAAGAGUUCGAUUUAUUACAUGUUAUAUUUCUAUGUUUCAUCAUGAUCUAAUCCGUGUUUUUCUCGCUGUACCUUGUAGGAGAAAUGGAGUUUGAAUUCCUCGUUCCGAGAAAUGCCUGCUACGGGCUUACAUUUUACAAUGGAGCAACUUGAAGUAUGUUUCAUCAUGAUCUAAUGGAGGCCUUUGACAGCCGACAGUGUGAGGACUUUCGAAACUCCUGCCUAGGCUUCCUGGCCGAGGUACUUGACAUACAGAUCUUUGCCUAGCUCAUUCAACAGUUGGUAUUCAAAUAUAUGAUUUAAGAGUCACAUGUUGGUAAUGUACCGAUUAUGAGAAACGCUUGUGUACAUUAGGGAAAAAAGUACUAAAAUGUCCUUACAAAAUUCGUGUAUUUACAAGGACGUUAAUGUGAGUUUAUUUUUUUAUUGGGUUAA
Molecule: long non-coding RNA, 875 nt
Organism: Olea europaea var. sylvestris
Lineage: Eukaryota; Viridiplantae; Streptophyta; Magnoliopsida; Lamiales; Oleaceae
Exons: 3
Source: RefSeq, a predicted model, not a curated record